This 501-nucleotide ribosomal RNA is filed under the name uncultured bacterium. Its description in RNAcentral is "bacterial SSU rRNA". It matches the Rfam family "Bacterial small subunit ribosomal RNA", at positions 26 to 518 of the family's 1533-position model. The record is from RNAcentral.
AGGACGAACGCUGGCGGCGUGCCUAACACAUGCAAGUCGAGCGAGGAGAUCCUUCGGGAUGAUCCUAGCGGCGGACGGGUGAGUAACACGUGGGCAACCUGCCUCAUAGAGAGGAAUAGCCUUCCGAAAGGGAGAUUAAUACCUCAUAACAUUGCAGUUUCGCAUGGAACAGCAAUUAAAGGAGUAAUCCGCUAUGAGAUGGGCCCGCGGCGCAUUAGCUAGUUGGUGAGGUAACGGCUCACCAAGGCGACGAUGCGUAGCCGACCUGAGAGGGUGAUCGGCCACAUUGGGACUGAGACACGGCCCAGACUCCUACGGGAGGCAGCAGUAGGGAAUUUUCAGCAAUGGGGGAAACCCUGACCGAGCAACGCCGCGUGAAUGAAAAGACGUAUUUCGGUAUGUAAAGUUCUUUUAUUAAGGAAGAAUAUCACGGAUAGGAAAUGAUCUGUGAGUGACGGUACUUAAUGAAUAAGCCCCGGCUAACUACGUGCCAGCCGCUGC